UACGUAGGGCGCAAGCGUUGUCCGGAAUUAUUGGGCGUAAAGAGCUCGUAGGCGGUCUGUCGCGUCCGUUGUGAAAACUCGAGGCUCAACCUCGGGCUUGCAGUGGAUACGGGCAGACUAGAGUGCGGUAGGGGAGACUGGAAUUCCUGGUGUAGCGGUGGAAUGCGCAGAUAUCAGGAGGAACACCGGUGGCGAAGGCGGGUCUCUGGGCAACAACUGACGCUGAGGAGCGAAAGCGUGGGGAGCGAACAGG
This 253-nucleotide ribosomal RNA is filed under the name uncultured bacterium. RNAcentral describes it as "partial 16S ribosomal RNA". It matches the Rfam family "Bacterial small subunit ribosomal RNA", at positions 524 to 776 of the family's 1533-position model. The record is from RNAcentral.